Molecule: small RNA, 82 nt
Organism: Legionella shakespearei DSM 23087
Lineage: Bacteria; Pseudomonadati; Pseudomonadota; Gammaproteobacteria; Legionellales; Legionellaceae
Rfam family: Legionella RNA 69
Source: Rfam
AGACAGCGCUAUCGCGCUUCCUCAGCCCGAACGGCAUCGAAGUAACGAUUGGAUAAAACAAUCUUGUUAUCCAUAACUCACG